GCCCGAUAACAUAUCCAUUUCUACUGGGGUCGGUUUGUAUGCUGAUGAUACCAAACUGCACAGAUGUGUGCAAAAUCGUAACGAUGCACUGGCAUUGCAAUCGGAUAUUCAAAGCCUCCAUUGUUGGUCAAAUGAGAACAUGUUAAGCUUUAACAAAUCGAAGUGUAAAGUGUUGUCUAUCACAAGAAGGAAGUCUCCCUUAAUUUACCCAUAUGCACUUGGCGAUCACCAACUAUUGUCUUCUGAUGUAGAGUCCGAUCUGGGCAUUACGAUCAGUUCGAAACUAUUAUGGAAUGUUCAGAUCAACAAAGUUCGGUCAAAAGCCAACAAAACGCUCGGGUUAAUCCGACGUUUUACCAUGGAGAUAACGGAUACCAACGCGAGAAGGCUUCUGUACCUUCAACUUGUGCGAAGUAACUUCUCCUAUGCAACCCAAGCCUGGUGUCCUCAGUCAGUGAAACUUAUUGAGGACGUUGAGAAAGUGCAGAGACGAGCAACUAAAUACAUAUUGAAUCUUGGGUUUAUCACAGACAUUUCUUACAAGACAAGACUCCUUCAGCUUGACAUAUUACCUGUCUCAUAUUGGCACGAAUACUUGGAUCUGGUGUUCCUCUACAAGAUCAUCAACAGUCUUACGUACAUUGACGAACGUGUUCUACCGAUCAUGGCUGGAUCAGGAAUUACAAGAAGUGAAUCCAACGCAAACCUAAUUAGAUUUGUUAUUCCUUAUGCGAAAACCGUAACAUUCCAGACCUCAUUUUUUAUAAGAACUUGCAAAACGUGGAACAUAUUAGAUAGUAACUUGCGUACUAGAGAUAUAGGUUUGCUGUCUUUUAAAUCAGGUCUUAAACUCUACUACAAACAUGCACUAUCCAAAACAUUCAAAUGUGACGAUCCGCGCACCUGGAAAUCAGUGUGUGUAAAGUGCAAAAGAGCAAGAUCGCUUAACAAUGAAAUAAGCUGUUGUUAGCCUUAUUAGUUUUAGCUUGUUGAGUUGCUUGAAAAUUUGUUUUGUACAGUAAUUUUAUUCUUGUUUAUAUGGGAUCGCCGUAAUUGGGGAAACCUGUGGCGAAUUCCCUGGCUCUAUAUGUUGUAUUUAAAUAGCAGCCGAAUCUUAUUAAAU
Paramuricea clavata is the source of this 1123-nucleotide non-coding RNA. The record is from the annotation of a GenBank genome assembly. NCBI's taxonomy places the organism in Eukaryota, Metazoa, Cnidaria, Anthozoa, Malacalcyonacea, Plexauridae.